GCGUGCGCAGGCGGUUCGCUAAGACCGAUGUGAAAUCCCCGGGCUUAACCUGGGAACUGCAUUGGUGACUGGCGGGCUAGAGUAUGGCAGAGGGGGGUAGAAUUCCACGUGUAGCAGUGAAAUGCGUAGAGAUGUGGAGGAAUACCGAUGGCGAAGGCAGCCCCCUGGGCCAAUACUGACGCUCAUGCACGAAAGCGUGGGGAGCAAACAGGAUUAGAUACCCUGGUAGUCCACGCCCUAAACGAUGUCAACUAGUUGUCGGGUCUUCAUUGACUUGGUAACGAAGCUAACGCGUGAAGUUGACCGCCUGGGGAGUACGGUCGCAAGAUUAAAACU
This 336-nucleotide ribosomal RNA is filed under the name Paraburkholderia sp. RNAcentral describes it as "bacterial SSU rRNA". It matches the Rfam family "Bacterial small subunit ribosomal RNA", at positions 565 to 901 of the family's 1533-position model. The record is from RNAcentral. Lineage: Bacteria; Pseudomonadati; Pseudomonadota; Betaproteobacteria; Burkholderiales; Burkholderiaceae.